RNAcentral lists this ribosomal RNA (497 nucleotides) under uncultured bacterium. RNAcentral describes it as "partial 16S ribosomal RNA". It matches the Rfam family "Bacterial small subunit ribosomal RNA", at positions 28 to 507 of the family's 1533-position model. The record is from RNAcentral.
GAUGAACGCUGGCGGCGUGCCUAAUACAUGCAAGUCGAGCGAACAGACGAGGAGCUUGCUCCUCUGACGUUAGCGGCGGACGGGUGAGUAACACGUGGAUAACCUACCUAUAAGACUGGGAUAACUUCGGGAAACCGGAGCUAAUACCGGAUAAUAUAUUGAACCGCAUGGUUCAAUAGUGAAAGACGGUUUUGCUGUCACUUAUAGAUGGAUCCGCGCCGCAUUAGCUAGUUGGUAAGGUAACGGCUUACCAAGGCAACGAUGCGUAGACGACCUGAGAGGGUGAUCGGCCACACGGGAACUGAGAAACGGUCCAGAAUCCUACGGGAGGAAGCAGUAGGGAAUCUUCCGCAAUGGGCGAAAGCCUGACGGAGCAACGCCGCGUGAGUGAUGAAGGUCUUCGGAUCGUAAAACUCUGUUAUUAGGGAAGAACAAAUGUGUAAGUAACUAUGCACGUCUUGACGGUACCUAAUCAGAAAGCCACGGCUAACUACGUG